UAGUUAAAUUUUUUUGUUUAAGCUCAUUUGCGUUGAGUUUCUCUUAUUUGCAAUUUAUUAAAUUCCAACAAAUGUUAACAGUCAAGUCCUGUGUUUUUUUUCUUUUAAGGACUAAUUGCUUUUUGGAUACAGUCAGCCUGAGAGGAAUGAAGAGUUAAUCCCAUACGUCUCCCUGCUAAUUUCUCUAGCAGACCUCACACACAUAGAAGAAUUUGAGAAGAUCAGGAUGGUAAUAUCGACCAGUAUUAGACAAGUUUGUCUUCCCCAUGACCUGUGAGUCAAUAAAUCCCUCUUCUAGACUGAGCCAGUCCAAACUGGAUUUCUGACACAGGAUUGGGAGGAGAAUGGGACCCUCAUGUGCUACCGAGAAUGGUCAUGUGAUUUUUCUCAUGUGUAAGAUAAAUGUAAAUAAAAGAACCCCUGUUGUUAUUUUGUA
Molecule: long non-coding RNA, 436 nt
Organism: Galeopterus variegatus (Sunda flying lemur)
Lineage: Eukaryota; Metazoa; Chordata; Mammalia; Dermoptera; Cynocephalidae
Exons: 2
Source: RefSeq, a predicted model, not a curated record